UUGAGAGCCCUGGAAAUUGAAUGUUUCUAGAUAGCCACAGAACAGGUACAGCAUGGGCAGUGGUAGCACAAACGUUGACCAUUCCCCAAUAACCAGGAAGAGGCCCUUCUUUGCAGGAUAAGAGAUUGUUUCAGUCUCCGUGGCCCACUCAGUCCCUUGCCUGU
RNAcentral lists this small RNA (164 nucleotides) under Gopherus agassizii (Agassiz's desert tortoise). Its description in RNAcentral is "TUC338 (ENSGAGG00000002054.1)". Lineage: Eukaryota; Metazoa; Chordata; Testudines; Testudinidae. The record is from RNAcentral.